UGGAAUAGCUCAGUUGGUAGAGCGACGCACUCGUAAUGCGUAGGUCGUCAGUUCGAGUCUGAUUUCC
Molecule: transfer RNA, 67 nt
Filed under: human gut metagenome
Also listed under: 1 other name
Rfam family: tRNA
About the family: Transfer RNA (tRNA) molecules are approximately 80 nucleotides in length. Their secondary structure includes four short double-helical elements and three loops (D, anti-codon, and T loops). Further hydrogen bonds mediate the characteristic L-shaped molecular structure. tRNAs have two regions of fundamental functional importance: the anti-codon, which is responsible for specific mRNA codon recognition, and the 3' end, to which the tRNAs corresponding amino acid is attached (by aminoacyl-tRNA synthetases). tRNAs cope with the degeneracy of the genetic code in two manners: having more than one tRNA (with a specific anti-codon) for a particular amino acid; and 'wobble' base-pairing, i.e. permitting non-standard base-pairing at the 3rd anti-codon position.
Source: RNAcentral